UGCUCCUCCCUCUCCCUGCCUCCCAUGGCCAUAGUGGCUGUGAUGGGGGGCAGAGCUCUCCAGCAGGAGAGACUUGGAGCGAAGCUGAGCACUGGAGGAGUCUCAGUGGCGACUCCGAACCCCUAAGCUUUAUCCAGGGAUUUCUCAGCAUCGCCUGUCCGCUUUGCUAGGGGAAAGGGUGGUGACGAGGCAGUAGCCGUGAGGCAAGACGAGUAUUCGGGAUGUUGUGAGCAGGACAUGGGAGAGCAGUGGUGCCAGACUGAGCACGCUAAGCAGUGGCUGUGUUCAGACCAAAAGCAGGGACCCUGGACAUUAGCAACUGCAAAUGGAGUUACUGCCCUGUGCUGUCAUGUGUUGCCACCAAAUGUGAUGGAGGAGAAGCCACAGAUGCCUUCAGCUGAAAGAGAAGGUAGACUCCUGCAUGGGUAUGUAGGCUGGCCUUUUUCUUUACCUGUUUUUCAGUAGGUUGUCAAUUGACACUGCAGCCUUCAGCCUACUUUGACCUGUCAAGAGGGAGAACGUAGCAAGGUGUUGUGGCAUACCAAGGCAAAAACAUGCUGUGUUCAGUGUUCACAACUUUAAGUAAGUUUGGGGCUUUUUUUUUUUUUUUUUUUUGUCUUUUAGACAAAGGAAGCAGCUAAGAAUUAGCAGGAGGACACCAAAUGGCUUGCACAUUUGCUUUUGCUUUGUCAGUAAAUGCAUUUUAUUUUUACACCUCCUACUUUAUUUAUACACCUCCCUAAUAUUGGUAAUUUUCAUACAGCAUGUGGACUAUCAACAACAAAGUAUAUCCAUUAACUCUAAGACUAGAAAGAGUAAUUUUCCAAUAAAUAAACCAUGCUUGCUGCUUACUUUCUGAGC
This 861-nucleotide long non-coding RNA is filed under the name Numida meleagris (helmeted guineafowl). RNAcentral describes it as "lncRNA (ENSNMEG00000002823.1)". The record is from RNAcentral. Lineage: Eukaryota; Metazoa; Chordata; Aves; Galliformes; Numididae.